GGGGGUGUUUGUGGCUCAAAGGUAGAGCAUCUGCCUUGAAUGCAGAAAGCCCUAAGUCCAAUAACCAGCAUCUCUG
Podarcis lilfordi (Lilford's wall lizard) is the source of this 76-nucleotide non-coding RNA. Lineage: Eukaryota; Metazoa; Chordata; Lepidosauria; Squamata; Lacertidae. The record is from the annotation of a GenBank genome assembly.